AUGGCGUACCGAGUGCUGGAGGUCACGCUCCUGUCAGCCAAGGACCUCAAGAGCGUGAACCUCAUCACGCGCAUGGAGGUGUACGCGGUGGCGACCAUCUCCGGCGACCCCAUCACGCGCCAGUGCACCCCGCCGGACCCGCACGGCGGCCGCAACCCGACCUGGAACGCCACGCUCCAGUUCGCCGUGCCGCCCACCGCCGAGGAGGCCACGGGCGGCUGCCUCCACAUCCUCCUCCGCGUCGAGCGCAUCUUCGGCGGCGACCGCGACGUCGGCGAGGUCAUCGUGCCCCUCUCCGAGAUCCUCUCCGGCGUCGGCCACGGCGCCGACUACGGCGCCCACAGCAUGCCGCAGUUCGCGUCCUACCAGAUCCGCAAGGUGCACCGCACCGAGGUGCGCGGCCUGCUCUACCUCACGUACCGUCUCGGCCCCGUCGUCCUGCCGGAGCCCCAUCUGGAGAUACCCGUCGACGAGUGGCCCGUCGUGGCGUACCCGGCGAAGCAGGUGAUGCCGCCGCCGCCGCCUCCACCGCAGGCUGCUUGGCCCGGGUAUGUGGCCGCGGCACCGCCGGCGAAACCACCUGCCGGCUACGUGGCUGUGCCCCCGCCUCCACCUGCAAAGCCGGCCGGCUACAUGGAUGUGCCGUUUUCGCCUGAGAAAGCACCCGGGCAUACCGCAUGGCCGUCUCCAAUACCUUACUGGUACGGGCCCGCGCCAUCACCUGCAAAGCAAGAAGGGCAUGCCGCCGUGCCGCCGUCGCCGAAACCUUCUGGGUACGGGACCGCGCCAUCGCCUGCAAAGCAAGAAGGGCAUGGCGCCGUGCCGCCGUCUCCGAAUCCUUAUGGGUACGGGACCGCGCCGUCGCCUGCAAAGCAAGAAGGUCGUGCGGCCGUGCCGCCGGCGACUCCAAAACCUUCUGGGUACGGGACCGCGCCAUCGCCUGCAAAGCAAGAAGGGCAUGUCGCCGUGCUGCCGUCUCCAAAGCCAGCCGGUGGACAUGUCGCCGUGCCGCCGUCUCAUGAGCCAUCCGGUCGGGUGGUGUCCAUGCCGCCUUCUCCAAAACCAGUCGGGCGUGUGGUGUCUAUGCCACCGUCUUCUCCGAAACCAUCCGGUCAGGUGAUGUCCAUGCCACCUUCUCCAAAGCCAGUGGAACGUGCGGUGUCCAUGCCGCCGUCUCAAAAACCGGUCGAACGUGCGGUGUCCAUGCCGCCGUCUCCGAAACCGGUUGACCGUGUGGUGUCCAUGCCGCCGUCUCAGAAACCAGCCGGGCAUGUGGUGUCCGUUCCGCCGGCUCCAAAACCGGUUGAACGUAAACCGGCCGGAAAUGUGGUGUCCAUGCCUCCGCCGCCGCCGAAACCAGUUGAACGCGCGGUGUCCAUGCCGCCGUCCCAGAAACCAGUCGGGCGUGUGGCGUCCAUGCCGCCGUCUCCAAAGCCAACCGAGCAGCAUGUGUCCGUGCCGCCGUCUGCAAAACCAGCGGCACAAGUGGCCCCGCCACCGUCUCCCAAACCUUCUGGGUACGAGGCCGUGCCUUCUCCUCCGAAACCAGCACCACAUGCGGCCGUGCCGCCGUCCCCGAAACCAUCGGGUCAUUACACCGUGCCGCCGUCUCCAACACCCGCCGGACAUGUCGCUACCAUGCCGUCGUCGUCUCCGAAACCACCUGUUCAUGCGGUGCCACCAUCUCCAAAGACAAGCACGCAUGUGACGGCCGUGCCGCCGUCGCCAAAGCCAGCCGGCGGGCAUGUGUCCGUGCCGCCGUCUCCAAUGCCAUCCGGCGGGCAUGUGUCCAGGCCGCCGUCUCCAGCACCAUACGGUCAGGUGGUGUCCAUGCCGCCUGCUCCAAAAUCAGCGGCCCAAGUGGCCGUGCUGCCGCCUCCAAAACCAGCCAACUUGCCGGCAGAUCACAACCCCAGCAUGGAGUUCGGGUGGGGGCUGGGCGCCGGCCUGGUCAGCGGCGCGAUCAGCGGGAUGCUGGCCGGCGGCAACAAAGGAGAACCGACGGCGUACGCACCACAAGCCGCUCCACUCGCCCGCAGCCGUCAAGUGUCUGUGUCUAAGACGUACGGCAGAGAUGUUUACACGCACUAA
RNAcentral lists this ribosomal RNA (2091 nucleotides) under Triticum aestivum (bread wheat). RNAcentral describes it as "partial small subunit ribosomal RNA". Lineage: Eukaryota; Viridiplantae; Streptophyta; Magnoliopsida; Poales; Poaceae. The record is from RNAcentral.